AAUGAACGUUGGUGGCGUGGAUUAGGCAUGCAAGUCGAGCGAUGAAGCCCUUCGGGGCGGAUUAGCGGCAAACGGGGUAGUCAUACAUCGGUGACGUGCCCCCAGGACCGGGAUAGCCACGGGAAACUGUGGGUAAUACCGGAUGAUCUCCCGAGUUUAAAGGCUCCGGAGCAAAUGUUUUUUCGCCUGGGGAGCGGCUGAUGCGGUACUAGUUAGUUGGCGGGGUAAUGGCCCACCAAGACGAAGAUGCCCAGGGGGUGUGAGAGCACGACCCCCACCACCGGGACUGAGAUACUGCCCGGACAUCUACGGAUGGCUGCAGUCGAGAAUCUUCCACAAUGGACGCAAGUCUGAUGGAGCGACGCCACGUGCGGGAUGAAGGCCCUUGGGUUGUAAACCGCUGUCAGAGGGGAUGAAAGCCUUCGGGUUUGACAGAGCCUCAAAGGAAGCGCGGGCUAAGUACGUGCCAGCAGCCGCCGUAAAAC
This 485-nucleotide ribosomal RNA is filed under the name uncultured bacterium. Its description in RNAcentral is "bacterial SSU rRNA". It matches the Rfam family "Bacterial small subunit ribosomal RNA", at positions 29 to 526 of the family's 1533-position model. The record is from RNAcentral.